AUAUUCAUUGCUCUCACAUAUGACGCGUUCCAAUCGGAUAGGGUCAUUCUUUGGACAAGGAUCUAAGUUGCUGCCUGUGACACAUGCCUUUGAGGGCUUCCUCAAAACUGAAUGGCACAGCCACAAUCUUCAUGUCAUUCAUGUAUGAUCUCUCCCAGAGGGAUUGUGUCCACAGCCAUGGAGACAAGACCAAGUUUGAAGAACCAUAAUGCCAAUGGCUUCAUUUAUAGUUCUGAUAAAAAGAAAAUCCUUGUCCUUACAAUAACAAUGACCAUACUUUUCACUGAUUUCUCAUAUAUCGUGAACUCAAAGCAGGUCACAGUAGUGUUUUGAAUGAAUCUUUGCCAGCUUCCCAAGUGCAAAGGGCAUCAGGUUCCUCCAAGUUCAAGUGAUACACAUAGGGUACUUUUACUGGCUACAGUCCUGGACCCACCUCCUUUCCCAGCAUAUAAACAGUGCAGGCUGGCCUCACUGAAUCAGAGCUGGCUACAAAGGGAGGAUACAGCAUUGCAAACCACAGGACACUCAGCUGGAAGGAAAAGUCAGAGGAAAACUUCUUGAAGGAGAGUAGCUAUGGACCUAAUCCCCAACUUUCCCACAGAAACGUGGGUGCUUGUGGUUACCAGCCUGGUGCUCCUCUACCUAUAUGGGACCUAUACACAUGGACUUUUUGCAAAGAUGGGAAUUCCUGGACCAAAACCUCUGCCCCUUUUGGGAAACGUCCUGUCCUAUCUCAAUGGUAUAGGGAACGUUGAUCUAGAGUGCAAUAAAAAGUAUGGGGAAAUGUGGGGAUUUUAUGAUGGUCGACAGCCAGUGUUAGCUAUCACUGAUUCAGAGAUGAUCAAAACAGUGCUGGUGAAGGAAUGUUACUCUGCCUUCACAAACCGCCGGAGUUUUGGUCCAGUGGGAUUAAUGAGAAAAGCUAUCACCAUAAGUACAGAUGAAGAAUGGAAGAGAAUAAGAAGUCUGCUGUCCCCGACUUUCACCAGUGGAAAACUCAAGGAGAUGUUUCCCAUCAUCAAACAAUAUGGAGACAUCUUGGUGAAGAAUCUGAGACGAGAAGCAGAGAAAGGCAAGCCUGUCACUCUGAAGGAAAUCUUUGGGGCCUACAGCAUGGAUGUGAUCACAGGGACAUCAUUUGGGGUGAACAUCGAUUCCCUCAACAACACAAAGGAUCCCUUUGUGGAAAAAGCCAAGAAACUCUUACGAUUUGAUUUUUUUGAUCCGUUGAAUCUCUCUGUGGCCUUGUUUCCAUUCCUUACCCCAUUAUAUGAGAUGUUAAAUUUAUCCAUGUUUCCACAUGACUCUGUGAACUUUUUCUGCGAAUUUGUAAAAAGGAUGAAAGACAAUCGUCUGGAUUCAGACCAGAAGAACAGAGUGGAUUUUCUCCAACUUAUGAUGAACUCUCAGGAUUCCAAUGAUAAAGAGUCACAUAAAGCUCUGUCUGAUCUGGAGAUUGCAGCCCAAUCCAUUGUAUUUAUUUUUGCUGGCUAUGAGGCAAAUAGCAGUGCACUUUCCUUUAUCAUGUAUGAAUUGGCCACUCACCCCGAUAUCCAGAAGAAGCUGCAGGAGGAGAUUGAUGCGGCUUUACCCAAUAAGGCACCUGCCACAUACGAUGCCCUGGUAGAGAUGGAGUAUCUGGACAUGGUGGUGAAUGAAGCUCUCAGAUUUUACCCCAUUGCUAACAGAGUUGAGAGAGUCUGUAAAGAAGAUGUUGAAGUCAAAGGGGUGUACAUUCCAAAAGGGACAGUGGUGAUGAUACCUGCCUUUGCUAUUCACUAUAACCCCAAGUACUGGCCAGAGCCUAAGGAGUUCUGCCCUGAAAGGUUCAGCAAGAAGAACAAAGACAACAUUGAUCCAUACACAUACCUGCCCUUCGGAGCUGGGCCCAGAAACUGCAUCGGCAUGAGGUUUGCUCUCAUGAACAUCAAACUUGCUGUCAUCAGAGUCCUGCAGAAUUUCUCCUUCCAACCCUGUAAAGAAACCCAGAUUCCUCUUGUAUUAAGCAAGAAGUUACUCCUUCAACCAGAAACUCCUAUUGUUCUAAAUGUUAUGCUGAGAGAUGGAGCAUAAAUGGAAUAUGAAUUUCCUUCAGGAGUACUGCUAUGUUCUUCAGGAACACCUCCUUCAGGAGUACUGCUAUGUUCUUCAGGAACACCAGAGAUUUUAACUUACUGUGUGAUUAAAAUAAU
Perognathus longimembris pacificus (Pacific pocket mouse) is the source of this 2192-nucleotide RNA transcript. It is a transcript of the gene named cytochrome P450 3A25-like, with no coding region annotated. The transcript has 14 exons. The record is from RefSeq and is a predicted model, not a curated record. Lineage: Eukaryota; Metazoa; Chordata; Mammalia; Rodentia; Heteromyidae.